CCUACGGGUGGCUGCAGUUGGGAAUCUUGCACAAUGGGGGAAACCCUGAUGCAGCGACGCCGCGUGGAGGAUGAAGGAUCUAGGUCUGUAAACUCCUUUUUCAUGGAAAGACUUAGGACGGUACCAUGAGAAUAAGCCCCGGCUAACUACGUGCCAGCAGCCGCGGUAAGACGUAGGGGGCGAGCGUUGUCCGGAUUUACUGGGCGUAAAGAGCGCGUAGGCGGCUUGUUAAGUGUGAAGUGAAAUCUCCAGGGCUCAACCCGGAAACUGCUUUACAUACUGGCAAGCUAGAGGAAUGCAGAGGUAAGUGGAAUUCCUGGUGUAGCGGUGAAAUGCGUAGAUAUCAGGAGGAACACCCAUGGCGAAGGCAGCUUACUGGGCAUUAUCUGACGCUGAGGCGCGAAAGCGUGGGUAGCAAACAGGAUUAGAUACCCCUGUAGUC
This 442-nucleotide ribosomal RNA is filed under the name uncultured bacterium. RNAcentral describes it as "partial 16S ribosomal RNA". It matches the Rfam family "Bacterial small subunit ribosomal RNA", at positions 338 to 795 of the family's 1533-position model. The record is from RNAcentral.